RNAcentral lists this ribosomal RNA (253 nucleotides) under uncultured bacterium. RNAcentral describes it as "partial 16S ribosomal RNA". It matches the Rfam family "Bacterial small subunit ribosomal RNA", at positions 524 to 776 of the family's 1533-position model. The record is from RNAcentral.
UACGUAGGGUGCAAGCGUUGUCCGGAAUUAUUGGGCGUAAAGAGCUCGUAGGCGGUCUGUCGCGUCGGAUGUGAAAACCCAGGGCUCAACCCUGGGCCUGCAUUCGAUACGGGCAGACUAGAGUUCGGUAGGGGAGACUGGAAUUCCUGGUGUAGCGGUGAAAUGCGCAGAUAUCAGGAGGAACACCGGUGGCGAAGGCGGGACUCUGGGCCGAUACUGACGCUGAGGAGCGAAAGCGUGGGGAGCGAACAGG